AAAAAAAAAAAUAAUUAAAAACCAAUUGUUCAAAGAACAAUUGAAGGUCUUUCAACCAAUAAGGAUCUAUUUAGAUAUGAAAAUAUUAAAAUUCAGUUGAAAAUGUCAGUUCGUAUGGCUUAAUGAUGUAUAAAUAUGAAUUUUAAGCAAAGGUCAAAAUCUAGAACGUCCAAUUAACCUAUGACCUUGACCUCAAUUUCAAGGUCAUAGACUAAACAUCUCAAAUAAAAAGACACUAGUUCCUUAAUAUGUAUGGUUCAUGAGUAAAAUCACUUUACGCAUAAUUCUUAAUAUAAGAGGGGCGAAAACUCCCUUUUAUUGUUUACGCACCCUCGCAACCAAAAUUUAUAAGUUACGACAUGUCGCAACUAACAAUUUAGUAAAAAAAAAUUGUCGAUAUCUUAUAAGUUAAUGAAAAUAAGUGAAAAUAAGCCAAAAUCAAAAUUUAGAAUUUGACCUUGACCUUUGACCUUGACCUAAUUUUCAUUUUUUUGGACCAAGGAUCUUAAAUCUAAAGACCCUAGGUCUCUAUCACUUAUGGUUUACCAGUUAGAUAUGCAUAUCACUUAUAUCAUAUAAAAAGGGGGGAUAACUCUCAUAUGGAGUCUCCGUAUAGCUUCGGUCAAAAUAAAACAGAUCAUCCUGAGGACUGAACGAGCAAUUUGGAAAAAUAAAUUUGUCGGUUUUUUAUACGGUUGCAAAGCCUUAGAGGACACAAGAAAAACAGUGUUUGGGGAGAUAACUCUUACAAGGUGAAAUUUUUUGUUACGCGGUGUCAGUUUCAGAAGCGUAUUAACUGUUCGAUAUCAUAUACCAUAUAUCUAAGCGACAUCUUGUGAAACAAAAAAACAGCGAAGGAAAAAAAAGUUGGCGGAAGAAAAAAAAAAAAAAUAAUAAUAAUAAUAAUAAUAAUCAGAACGAAUUCAAUAGGUCUUUCAACAGAAAGGUUGAAAGACCUAAUAAUAAUAAUAAUAAAAUUAAUAAUAAUCAGAACAAAUACAAUAGGUCUUUCAACAGAAAGGUUGAAAGACCUAAUUAU
Molecule: long non-coding RNA, 1039 nt
Filed under: Mytilus galloprovincialis (Mediterranean mussel)
Lineage: Eukaryota; Metazoa; Mollusca; Bivalvia; Mytilida; Mytilidae
Source: RNAcentral